Molecule: long non-coding RNA, 1007 nt
Organism: Oncorhynchus keta (chum salmon)
Lineage: Eukaryota; Metazoa; Chordata; Actinopteri; Salmoniformes; Salmonidae
Exons: 3
Source: RefSeq, a predicted model, not a curated record
ACAGGUAGGAUAUAUAUUGACCCCAUACAGGUAGGAUAUAUAUUGACCCCAUACAGGUAGGAUUUAUAUUGACCCCAUAUAGGACCAGCUACACAGAGCACAGCCUUCAGCCAUACAGGUAGGAUAUAUAUUGACCCCAUACAGGUAGGAUAUUGACUCCAUACAGGUAGUAUAUAUUGACCCCAUACAGGUAGGAUAUAUAUUGACCCCAUACAGGUAUGAUAUAUAUUGACCCUAUACAGGUAUGAUAUAUAUUGACCCCAUACAGGUAGGAUAUAUAUUGACCCCAUACAGGUAGGAUAUAUAUUGACCCUAUACAGGUAGGAUAUAUAUUGACCCCAUACAGGUAGGAUAUAUAUUGACCCCAUACAGGUAUGAUAUAUAUUGACCCCAUACAGGUAGGAUUUAUAUUGACCCCAUAUAGGACCAGCUACACAGAGCACAGCCUUCAGCCAUACAGGUAGGAUAUAUAUUGACCCCAUACAGGUAGGAUAUUGACUCCAUACAGGUAGGAUAUAUAUUGACCCCAUACAGGUAGGAUAUAUAUUGACCCCAUAUAGGACCAGCUACACAGAGCACAGCCUUCAGCCAUACAGGUAGGAUAUAUAUUGACCCCAUACAGGUAGGAUAUUGACUCCAUACAGGUAGGAUAUAUAUUGACUCCAUACAGGUAGGAUAUAUAUUGACCCCAUACAGGUAUGAUAUAUAUUGACCCCAUACAGGUAGGAUAUAUAUUGACCCCAUACAGGUAGGAUAUAUAUUGACCCCAUACAGGUAGGAUUUAUAUUGACCCCAUACAGGUAGGAUAUAUAUUGACCCCAUACAGGUAGGAUUUAUAUUGACCCCAUAUAGGACCAGCUACACAGAGCACAGCCUUCAGCCAUACAGGUAUGAUAUAUAUUGACCCCAUACAGGUAGGAUAUAUAUUGACCCCAUACAGGUAGGAUAUAUAUUGACCCUGUACAGGUAGGAUAUAUAUUGACCCCAUACAGGUAGGAUAUAUAUUG